GACGAACGCUGGCGGCGUGCUUAACACAUGCAAGUCGAACGGAAAGGCCCUGCUUUUGUGGGGUUCUCGAUUGGCGAACGGGUGAGUAACACGUGUGUAACCUGCCCUUGUCUUUGGGAUAACUUCUGGAAACUGGGGCUAAUACCGGAUAGGAUCUCCUGCUGCAUGGUGGUGGUUGGUAAGUUUCGGCGGUUGGGGCUGGACUCGCGGCUUAUGAGCUGGUUGGGGGGGUAGUGGCUUACGAAGGCUUUGAAGGGUAGCCGGCAUGAGAGGGUGACCGGGCACAAUGGGCCUGCGAUACGCAGCAGAAUGCUACGGGCGGCAGCAGUGGGGAAUAUUGCAGAAUAGGCCGAAGCCUGAUAUAGCAACGCCGCGUUCGGGAUAACGGCCUUCGAGUUAUAAACCGCUUUCGCCGGAGACAAAGCGUGAGUGACGGUAAUGGGUAAGGAAGCACCGGCUAACUACGUG
RNAcentral lists this ribosomal RNA (468 nucleotides) under uncultured bacterium. Its description in RNAcentral is "partial 16S ribosomal RNA". It matches the Rfam family "Bacterial small subunit ribosomal RNA", at positions 28 to 507 of the family's 1533-position model. The record is from RNAcentral.